AGUGGCGGACGGGUGAGUAACGCGUGAGAAUCUGGCUUCAGGAGGGGGACAACAGUUGGAAACGACUGCUAAUACCCCAUAUGUCUACGGAUGAAACGGUGAAUUCCGCCUGAAGAUGAGCUCGCGUCGGAUUAGCUAGUUGGUGAGGUAAAGGCUCACCAAGGCGACGAUCCGUAGCUGGUCUGAGAGGAUGAUCAGCCACACUGGGACUGAGACACGGCCCAGACUCCUACGGGAGGCAGCAGUGGGGAAUUUUCCGCAAUGGGCGAAAGCCUGACGGAGCGACGCCGCGUGCGGGAAGACGGCCUGUGGGUUGUAAACCGCUUUUCUCUGGGAAGAAUAAGUUGACGGUACCAGAGGAAUCAGCAUCGGCUAACUCCGUGCCAGCAGCCGCGGUAAUACGGAGGAUGCAAGCGUUAUCCGGAAUUAUUGGGCGUAAAGCGUCCGCAGGCGGCUUAUCAAGUCUGCUGUUAAAGGUCGGGGCUCAACUCCGGUUAGGCAGUGGAAACUGAUAGGCUAGAGUGUGGUAGGGGUAGAGGGAAUUCCCAGUGUAGCGGUGAAAUGCGUAGAUAUUGGGAAGAACACCAGUGGCGAAGGCGCUCUACUGGGCCACAACUGACGCUGAGGGACGAAAGCUAGGGGAGCGAAAGGGAUUAGAUACCCCUGUAGUCCUAGCUGUAAACGAUGGACACUAGGUGUUG
This 701-nucleotide ribosomal RNA is filed under the name uncultured Oscillatoriales cyanobacterium. RNAcentral describes it as "bacterial SSU rRNA". It matches the Rfam family "Bacterial small subunit ribosomal RNA", at positions 94 to 825 of the family's 1533-position model. Lineage: Bacteria; Bacillati; Cyanobacteriota; Cyanophyceae; Oscillatoriales. The record is from RNAcentral.